GGUUCCCGGGCCGGGCGGGGCGCCUGGGCCAGCCUCCAAGGGGGGGGGGCUUUGUCAUACCGCCAGGGGCAGUGCCAGGAAAGGCAGUCCUUCACGCCUUUGAUAUCUUGGACCCGGGUUUCGGAUCCACCCCAUUGCGCCCGCGUAGUUACAACUAGCCUCACCCAUGACGAAGCUACAAUAAAAGCUUGACGAUCUUCGAGCCUUCAUUAGAGCCGCAGGGGAGGGAGGUGCCCUGGGGAGGUGGUUCUCCUUACAUUUAGGCGCAGACCUCUGCAGUGUCUCCUUCGUUUCCUGAGUAGCGUGGAGUGUGAGACCAAAACCUAGGAGACCGUGCAGAUCCGCGGGAAGCUUAGGAGGGCCACUCACAGGCCUGGGUUCAUGUCAUUGCUUCAGAAUUCAUUUGGGGUUGGGUGAGCAUUUUCAUACCCAUUUUACAGAAGAGAAGAUAGAUGCUCAGGCCGGUGAAGAGUUUCUGAUAACCUACCAGCUGCAAGGAGCUUCCUGUUUCAGAAGCUUGUCCCUGUGACUGGCCAGCGGCCCCUGUUACAUACAUGUUCCAUAUGCAGAGCUGGAACAAUCCUCAAAGGCCACCCCAUCAGUCCUUGCUCUGACCUUUGGAGUUAUCCCAAAUGAUUUGGAUCUCUUCUCUGCAUACCAGUCCUUUGGCAUUGGAUACAGGAUCCCAUGUCUGCUCACGCUGUAGGAGUUUAAAAAGAGACCUGAGGAACAGAAAUUUAAAGAGAAACCAAAAUAAAUAAAUAAAUAAAAACCA
This is a long non-coding RNA of Marmota monax (woodchuck), 775 nucleotides long. RefSeq lists it as uncharacterized. NCBI's taxonomy places the organism in Eukaryota, Metazoa, Chordata, Mammalia, Rodentia, Sciuridae. The record is from RefSeq and is a predicted model, not a curated record. The transcript is spliced from 2 exons.